UACAGAGGUCCCAAGCGUUGUUCGGAUUCACUGGGCGUAAAGGGUGCGUAGGUGGUGACGUAAGUCGGAUGUGAAAUCUCGGAGCUCAACUCCGAAACGGCAUUGGAAACUGCGUUGCUAGAGGGUUGGAGGGGGGACUGGAACGCUUGGUGUAGCAGUGAAAUGCGUAGAUAUCAAGCGGAACACCAGUGGCGAAGGCGAGUCCCUGGACAACACCUGACACUGAGGCACGAAAGCUAGGGGAGCAAACAGG
Molecule: ribosomal RNA, 253 nt
Filed under: uncultured bacterium
Lineage: Bacteria
Description: partial 16S ribosomal RNA
Rfam family: Bacterial small subunit ribosomal RNA
Source: RNAcentral